This 28-nucleotide non-coding RNA is filed under the name Rattus norvegicus (Norway rat). Lineage: Eukaryota; Metazoa; Chordata; Mammalia; Rodentia; Muridae. The record is from RNAcentral.
UUAGACCACUAUCAUCAUGGCGGGAAGC